UGCGNCCGAAUACAUUAGCAUGGGAUAAUGGAAUAGGACCCUGUCCUCCUUUUUUCAGUUGGUURRUUCGGGAGAGAGGAACAGGGUAGUGAUUAAUGGGAAKAGUUGGGGGCUUUAAUAUUUAUUUGUCGAAGGUGAAAUUCUGGGAUUUUCGAAGUUUUCCCUUCGGCGAAGCCUUCGGCCAAGGAGGUUUCCUUUAUCCAAAAACAAAGUUUAGGGAACCCAAAACAAUCGAAUCCCUCGGUGUUCUUAACCAUAAACAAUGCCGACCGCCAAUAAGAAAACGUUAAAUACAAAACYCCUCUAUAUAUAAUUCAUUGUAUGAUCAGUCAAAUGGUUGUAUAUUGUUUGUAUAUAGUCACCGGGAUAUUCCCCCAAUCACUUUGGGAAAAUUGUGAAAAAGACAAUACCGACGCAUCUUAUCUCCCGGCGCC
RNAcentral lists this ribosomal RNA (434 nucleotides) under Acanthamoeba sp. RNAcentral describes it as "bacterial SSU rRNA". The stretch from base 1 to 339 matches the Rfam family "Eukaryotic small subunit ribosomal RNA", at positions 801 to 1124 of the family's 1831-position model. The record is from RNAcentral. Lineage: Eukaryota; Discosea; Longamoebia; Acanthamoebidae.